UUUUUUUCUCUUUUACUUUUUUUAAUGUGUUCGAUUUUUUUUUCUAUUUUUCAAAUAUUAGUAUAUGUUUCUCCAAAAUGUUAGAAUACGAAAUCUGUAUCAAACACAUUUUAUGAAAGUCAGUAACCAACACUUUACAUUAGACUAAAUGGAUGGAUCAAUAAGAGAAAUAUUUUUUAAAAAAAUUCAUUGAAUAGUCCGUGUAUUCUGAAAUGUAUCGUAAAUGAGAUAUAAUAAUUAUUUAAAAAAUUUUAAGAAAUUAAAUUUCUCUUAUAAAUAGG
Molecule: long non-coding RNA, 281 nt
Filed under: Lathyrus oleraceus (garden pea)
Lineage: Eukaryota; Viridiplantae; Streptophyta; Magnoliopsida; Fabales; Fabaceae
Description: Pisum sativum (pea) long non-coding RNA (PSAT_LNC022335)
Source: RNAcentral